GUGCGGCGAACGGGUUGGAAUCAGGCCUCCCACCGUGCUCCUCGUACGCAGCUCUCAACCGUCCGAUCAGAGCAUCGAGAGAUCCCCAGGCUUGCUUGAGAGGACAAGCGCAAGGAGAGGGAGGCUGCUGAUGUCCGAAGUAAGGACAGGUCGCCACGUGGACUUUGGUCUUACCGAACUGAUCUAGGUACUUGAGGAACUCGAUCACGUGCGCUCCGCUGCAACGUGAUAACGCGAGAGGCGGCUUGUGGUUCUUGAGGUACUGCAAGAACGUGUUCCAGUCACGUCGUUUCUGCGACUCGUACCUGCUAGGGGGCGUCGCCGGAGGUGAAGAGGGCGUUACGGAAGACGGACCCGGAUCACCUCCAUGUUGUUGUGACCCCGAAUCAGUCGAUUCCAUCAAAACUAGGGUUUUUUUUUUGUUUUUCUUUGAGAGAGUUUUUAUUUAGCCUUGGUUUUUUAGAAUAUAAGCGAAUCGAGAAUUUAGUGUUUUAAAAGAAAGAGAGACAAAUGAGAGAAAGUUCUUUAUAUGUAAUCUGAUUAAUUUUUAAACUAUUAUUUGAAGAAUAGGAAAUAACCUUCAUUUCAUAUAUAUAUAUAUAUAUAUAUAUUCAUAAAUAAUAAUAGAGUAAACUAACAUGGCCUGGCUGUUGGCUCGUCCUUAUCAAAGAUCAUGUGCUGAUUAGGAACAAAACAAACUUAGAUCAUGAUAAACAAGGACCACAGGUUCUGUCUAACCUAUCUUUAAUAACAAAUCUAGGGCAAAAACUGCCUUAAAUAUAUAGAGUCGUAAUGCAAUCGCUAAAGUUCCAUAUUGGCUAAUUAAGGCGACCUUUAUAUAAAUAUCUCAAGCUAACGGUCACGGAAACUAUUCUGUCUUGUAAUGGUUAACCAAACACUACCUUCAUUGCUGACGUCAAGAAAAGAAGCCUACUCCGAUUAUUUCACUAUAGAUUGUUUACUUAAGCAUAUGGUUGAAAGACACACGUGUGGAAAGACGCGUACUAGAACACAGUAAGAAGCCCCAUGUUGGUCGGACAUAUCGUGAUAAACAACACUAGGCCUGUUCGGCUGUUCGUUUAUUAAACGCGGCGACCAACUCUGGCUACUGAAAUUUGUUCGUAAUUUUCUUAUGCGCUGGUCGCUGGUGAAGGAAAAUAGAGAACGCGCGUUAGAAUAAUCGACCGAUUCUUUUCUCUCUCUUUCAUGCGGCUGAAAAACAUGGAUGCUCUUCCAUUUUUUUUUCUCGCGUCUGUAAAUUUUCUCGUUUUCCCUUAAAAUUUCAGUCGCAAGUGUUAGACGCGGCGUUUAAUAAACGAACAGGCCUACUGUCUCGACUCUCACGAGUCGCGAUCUUGUUCUAUUCAUGUGACUUUUACCAUAUUUCCAAGGUUGUUUACGUACACGUGCGUGUGUACGUAUCUUAAAACGCAUAUGUAUAUCUGCUAUUCAUGCAUGAGAGUAUAUAUAUACAAAAUAAAAAUGUAAACCAAUAUGUGACUAAAAGACAUAACUAGAGAUAGUAAGUUAUAUAUUUGGCAUAUUGUACACAAAUUUGAAUGGAAAAGAGAGUAUUAUACAUUUAUUUCAGAAAAUGUUAAGUCGUUUAAAUGCAUAUACCGAUGCAUAUGACAUGACAUUGUAUAGUGUAUACAGUAUACGUAUACUUACCUCUUUCGUACUUAAUAUAUAAAUACAUACGCAAGCUGAAAGAAACCCCCAUCCGACUCCUGUAAUAUUCUUCGCUGAUUCCUGAACUCUUCAACACACGUUAAUUUAAAUUCCAUGAUUCUUUAGAUGAUACCGUUUGAUUGAUCACAAAAGCAAGAUCUUAAUAAUUCGGUUAACAAAAGAAAACUCUUAAUAGUUUAUAUAGAAAAUAAAAUACAUUAUAGUACGGAAGGUGUGAGUUCCAUGCUUACUAUAGCAAGAAAACUAAUUAAUAUGAUAUAAUAAUUUAAUUUAAGGCGGUACAGCUUCGGCGACAGACGGAUCACUGACGUUACAACCACCACCUCCUUCACUUUGUCUUGACGGAGCAACGUCAAUUCUAGCGGUGGUAACAGUUGGUGCCCGUUUCCGUUUCUUCUUCUCGUAUGGAAUCCCACGUGCCUUGGCUUGACUUUCCCUGACUUCUCUCAAGUAAAUCCUGACCGCACGUGCGGCGAACGGGUUGGAAUCAGGCCUCCCACCGUGCUCCUCGUACGCAGCUCUCAACCGUCCGAUCAGAGCAUCGAGAGAUCCCCAGGCUUGCUUGAGAGGACAAGCGCAAGGAGAGGGAGGCUGCUGAUGUCCGAAGUAAGGACAGGUCGCCACGUGGACUUUGGUCUUACCGAACUGAUCUAGGUACUUGAGGAACUCGAUCACGUGCGCUCCGCUGCAACGUGAUAACGCGAGAGGCGGCUUGUGGUUCUUGAGGUACUGCAAGAACGUGUUCCAGUCACGUCGUUUCUGCGACUCGUACCUGCUAGGGGGCGUCGCCGGAGGUGAAGAGGGCGUUACGGAAG
RNAcentral lists this long non-coding RNA (2507 nucleotides) under Brassica napus (rape). RNAcentral describes it as "long non-coding RNA (BNAP_LNC016812)". Lineage: Eukaryota; Viridiplantae; Streptophyta; Magnoliopsida; Brassicales; Brassicaceae. The record is from RNAcentral.